This 253-nucleotide ribosomal RNA is filed under the name uncultured bacterium. RNAcentral's name for it is "partial 16S ribosomal RNA". It matches the Rfam family "Bacterial small subunit ribosomal RNA", at positions 524 to 776 of the family's 1533-position model. The record is from RNAcentral.
AACGUAGGACGCAAGCGUUAUCCGGAGUUACUGGGCGUAAAGCGCGGGCAGGCGGUCGGUCAAGUCUGAUGUGAAAUCUCCUCGCUCAACGGGGAGCAGCCAUUGGAAACUGGGCGACUGGAGUCUGACAGAGGUAGGCGGAAUUCCGGGUGGAGUGGUGAAAUGCGUAGAGAUCCGGAGGAACACCAGAGGCGAAGGCGGCCUACUGGGUCAGUACUGACGCUGAGCCGCGAAAGCCAGGGGAGCGAACGGG